Oenanthe melanoleuca is the source of this 3140-nucleotide long non-coding RNA. RefSeq lists it as uncharacterized. Lineage: Eukaryota; Metazoa; Chordata; Aves; Passeriformes; Muscicapidae. The record is from RefSeq and is a predicted model, not a curated record. The transcript has 8 exons.
AGGAGGACGGGGUGCUGGCUCAGUCCGUGCCAGCCCCUCUUGGCCACUCUGCUCUCUCUCGGCGGCGCUUCUCCAGGGGAAUCCGGCGGCCGGAGCCCUUCCUGCCCCUCCUCCCGCUAUCCCUCGGGGGAUGGCAGGGCCUUUCCUCCCCCUUUUCCCCUCACGCCUUCCCGCCCGGGGCUGAGGGCCUGGCUGUACCCGGCUGCGGCCUGGCCGUGGCACCGUGCGGGCCCCGCCGGCCCCGGCCCGGACACCGCGCCACACGGAGGCCACGGACGGGCGGGACGCAGCGAGCGGGCACGGCGGGAAUCGGCUGCUGCCCCGGCUGGUUUCCUUCCGAUUCCCUCUGAUUCCUUCUGAUUCCUUCUGAUUCCCUCUGAUUCCUUCUGAUUCCCUCUGAUUCCCUCCUCUGAUUUCCUGCUGUGCUUCCUCCUCCUUCUGAUGGAGGAGCUCAGCGGGCUCGGCAGCUCUGAAGCCUGCGUGCGUUGCUGUAAUUGAUUUGUGACCAAAGUGACACGGUGAAAAGUCGAGUUACAGAGGUCUCAGUUCUGAUUUGAUUGACUACAGAAGUGCAGGAUCAGUAACAGAGAAUCAGUAAACACAGGCAGAGGAAUUUUUAACACCAUUAACACUUCCAGGCAGUUAACUGGUUUCAGAAAUAAAUACAAAAAUUCAGAGGAUGUCAAAACCAGCAUGAAGAUCCACACACUGAUCUUACGAAAUACAGGUUUCCAGGAAUGAGAAGAACAGCUGGAGAAACUGAAUGCUAUGCUUCAUUGGUGGGGGGAAAUUCUCUGUGCUGCAAUAUUAGUACUCACUGCCUGCUGCGGUCACCAAGCACUGUCAUCAAGGAGCUUUCAAGGGGCUGGAAAAUUCUUGUGAAAUAUUACCCUGUUGCCUGAAUCCGUACUGCUCCUGACUGUCUGCCAGCUCCCAGAUUAAAUAGACUGUAAUCACAUCACAAUUAAUGGUCCUGACACAACCAGCGAAUUCCAGCCUAAAUGAGGUCCAUAGUAAAGUCAUUGUCUCUAUGUAAUUGCUGAACUUGGCACCAAAGCACAGACUAAAGGUCAACAGCAUCUGCUGAUUUUGGAUGGUACAAACCAUGACUGCCCUGCUAUUUUUUGUUUUCCUGAGAACUUGGCAUUAUACUGAGCUUUACCACAUGGCAACACAGGUCCUCCUGUCUCCAGCUCCAGCUUUGAACAUGCAGCUUUUCAUCAGCCCAAUCCCAGGUUAGGCUGGAGGACCAGAAGUGUGACCUGAAGUCCCAGCUCUUCACCUAGCAGUGCUCAGCUCUGGAAAUGCUGUAACCUUGGCGCCUGACAUUGCACUGCCUGGCAGCACCUUCAUCUGCAGCCUCAGCACAGCACACAGCCAACAUGCUGAGCAGGACAGCAGGCCCUUGGCAUUUUCUGCCCUCCUGACAUUCAUCCUGAAGUAGAUCCAGCUGUGGAGGAGAUACAGCUGGAAGAUGAGCAUGCAGGGGUAGAGGCAGUGGUGCAAGUUUGGGGCACAGAGCAGGGAGGUGCAGUCACUCCAGGUGUGUGAGCUCCCUUCUGGCAGCAGGUAUGCAAUGCUGGUCAUGCUUGUUUAGUACAAUAAUGUGCUCUGAGCACAUGCAUGUGUGCAGGACUUCACUGCAUUAGCUCAUAAGAAGUGGGAGUUCCUCACCUCCCACUACCUGCAGGCAGCUGGUAAGGCUCAGAAAUGCCUCCAUCAGUUCUAAGCCCCUGACAGCCAGGAUCUGUGGAUCCUGCUGCUGACUCCCCAGUCCCCAUAGGCCUGCUUGUUUCUCUGCUGAAUUUUGGAUUGCAGCAUAUAAGCUAAGGCACCAUGGCCACCAUCAACCUCUUUUUCAAACUGCAGGGUCUUCUUCACCCCCACCAGGCCACUCCUAGGGUUCUUCUGCCUCACUGGCUUCUCAGCUGGGAAAGCUUUAGGCUUUAGCUCUCCAUUAUACCCUUUGUCCUUUCUAAAGUUUAAGGCCUGUGCCAAAUGACAAAAACUUAAUAAUGGUGAACAACAAAACACAACAAAACAGGACACACACACACAAAAGAAAAAAAGGUAACAUGAGCAACUAACAAUGGAAAGUUACCUCCCACCACCUGGGAAAUGGCUCACCUACCUUGGCUGAGGAAGGACCAAGGCAGAAGCUGAGCACUGACAGCACAACAGAGUGCUCUGGGUCUUGCCAAGAAACAAAAUACCUUGAAAUGAGAACAGCUCAGACACCUUAAGACUAUGCAGCACUACAAUAUUUUCUGUACUGUUUGCCACCACUAACUUGACAUCAUCCAUAACAACUGUACUCAACAGGAUCACUCAUUAAUUAUGUCCAGCUUUGAAGAUAACUGUGCCUAGUUCUUUGAAGAUCACGCUGUAACCCACAUGAGUGGACACCUACAGAUUAACCCAGCCAGAGGAACUUCUCUUCCUCCUUCCCAUGCUUCUUCAUGGGUGGGGCAAGCCUUUGUGAGACACCCUUGGCAAGCAAGAGAUGAAAACACAGCCCCCAUAGAACAACCCAAAGUUUAGCACAACUUGGCUUUGGCUUCUGAACUCACUGUUCCUGCAGCAAAGUUAACAGGUCAGUCUCUCCCCUCCCUUCAAAUACUUCAUCUGUGUGACACAGCAUUUUCAUUUGUUUUUCCACCCAACACCCAUCAGCCAUUUUUCUUCAGCGAGAAGGUAAACACCCUGUUUUGUUUUCCCAUCUGUAUUUAAACUGUGAAUGGAGUGAAGCAACAGGCUGGGAAGCAGAAAGAGGAAAGCAGCCUGAGACGAAGCGAUACAAGCACUGAUUGCAACCAGGCUUUUCAGAUGUAUGAAAAAAUAACUCCCUCCCCCAAGGAGAUACUUUGGAAGCUGAAAGCUAAGAACUUAAGUACAAAGGCUUUUGUUUUUAUUGACAUUGUAAGAAACAUUUUUUCUUUGUUACAAAAAAGCUAAGUGGUUCUGAAAGCAGAAGUACAGUUCAUAUGUACACAGUGCUACAGACCCUUCAGAUCAACCUAAGGCUUGAGAAACAUCAGAUCAUAACUGCAGGUUUAUCAAAUAAAGACCACUAAGGUCUGUUACAGCUGAACACUAUUCCUACCGUACAUAAAUGUAUUUACAUGUUCUCUUUUUUUGUU